Molecule: long non-coding RNA, 612 nt
Organism: Oncorhynchus tshawytscha (Chinook salmon)
Lineage: Eukaryota; Metazoa; Chordata; Actinopteri; Salmoniformes; Salmonidae
Source: Ensembl
CUGCUUCUCGAGAUGUGAUUGGAUGUAAGGAUGCUUCUCGAGAUGUGAUUGGAUGUAAGGAUGCUUCUCCAGAUGUGAUUGGGUGUAAGGAUGCUUCUCCAGAUGUGAUUGGAUGUAAGGAUGCUUCUCGAGAUGUGAUUGGAUGUAAGGAUGCUUCUCGAGAUGUGAUUGGAUGUAAGGAUGCUUCUCGAGAUGUGAUUGGAUGUUCAGAUAUAUUUUAUCUCCAAUCUCCAAAUGCCUUUAAUCUUCGAAUGGGAGAUACUGUGACGGACAGUGUCACACAUCAUAACAUGAGUCAUGUGGUCUUUGGGAAAAGGACCUUUCUGACAACUGGAGCACAGGAGGGUUUUGAAAUCAGAUUUCAAGGCCGACAAAAGAGGUGGCAGGUAACCUAGUGGUUAGAGUGUAGAGGAGGCAGGGUAGCCUAGUGGUUAGAGUGUAGAGGAGGCGGGUAGCCUAGUGGUUAGAGUGUAGAGGAGGCGGGUAGCCUAGUGGUUAGAGUGUAGAGGAGGCAGGGUAGCCUAGUGGUUAGAGUGUAGAGGAGGCAGGGUAGCCUAGUGGUUAGAGUGUAGAGGAGGCAGGUAGCCUAGUGGUUAGUAUAGAGGAGGCAGG